This 1479-nucleotide ribosomal RNA is filed under the name uncultured prokaryote. Its description in RNAcentral is "partial 16S ribosomal RNA". It matches the Rfam family "Bacterial small subunit ribosomal RNA". The record is from RNAcentral.
GAUGAACGUUGGCGGCGUGCCUAACACAUGCAAGUCGAACGCGAAAGGAUUCUUCGGAAUCCGAGUAGAGUGGCGAACGGGUGAGUAACGCGUAGGAAACCUGCCUUUUAGUGGGGGACAACAGUUGGAAACGACUGCUAAUACCGCAUAUGAUUGCAGAGACACAUGUUUUUGCGAUCAAAGAUGGCCUCUUCUUGAAAGCUAUCGCUAAUAGAGGGUCCUGCGUUGUAUCAGAUAGUUGGUGAGGUAAUGGCUCACCAAGUCUAAGACGCAUAGCCGGCCUGAGAGGGUGUACGGCCACACUGGGACUGAGAUACGGCCCAGACUCCUACGGGAGGCAGCAGUGAGGAAUUUUCCGCAAUGGGGGCAACCCUGACGGAGCGACGCCGCGUGAAGGAAGAAGGGUUUCGGCUCGUAAACUUCUUUUCAGUUGUGAGGAAAGGAAGUUGGUUAAUACCCAGUUUCUGUGACGUUAGCAACAGAAGAAGCACCGGCUAACUCCGUGCCAGCAGCCGCGGUAAUACGGAGGGUGCGAGCGUUAAUCGGAAUUACUGGGCGUAAAGCGCACGCAGGCGGUUUGUUAAGCUAGAUGUGAAAGCCCCGGGCUCAACCUGGGAAUAGCAUUCGAUACUGUUUGACUAGAGUACAGUAGAGAGAAGUGGAAUUCCAAGUGUAGCGGUGAAAUGCGUAGAUAUCUGGAGGAACAUCAGUGGCGAAGGCGACUCCCUGGCCAAAGACUGACGCUCAUGUGCGAAAGUGUGGGUAGCGAACAGGAUUAGAUACCCUGGUAGUCCACACCGUAAACGAUGUCUACUAGCUGUUUGUGGAUUUAAUCCGUGAGUAGCGAAGCUAACGCGAUAAGUAGACCGCCUGGGGAGUACGGCCGCAAGGUUAAAACUCAAAUGAAUUGACGGGGGCCCGCACAAGCGGUGGAGCAUGUGGUUUAAUUCGAUGCAACGCGAAGAACCUUACCUACUCUUGACAUCCAGUGAACAUUGCAGAGAUGAAUUGGUGCCUUCGGGAAUCUAGAUACAGGUGCUGCAUGGCUGUCGUCAGCUCGUGUCGUGAGAUGUUGGGUUAAGUCCCGCAACGAGCGCAACCCUUGUCCUUAGUUGCCAGCCUUAAGUUGGGCACUCUAAGGAGACUGCCGGUGACAAACCGGAGGAAGGUGGGGACGACGUCAAGUCAUCAUGGCCCUUACGAGUAGGGCUACACACGUGCUACAAUGGUGAGUACAGAGGGAAGCGAACCUGCGAGGGUAAGCGGAUCCCUUAAAGCUCGUCGUAGUCCGGCUUGGAGUCUGCAACUCGACUCCAUGAAGUCGUAAUCGCUACUAAUCGCAAAUCAGAAUGUUGCGGUGAAUACGUUCCCGGACGUUGUACACACCGCCCGUCACACCAUGGGAGUGGGUCGCAAAAGAAGUAGCUAGUCUAACCUUCGGGAGGACGGUUACCACUUUGUGAUUCAUGACUGGGGUGA